UUUUUCUGCACAACUUUAAACCAUGGGGCAACAGGCCCCCGUGCCACAGCCCCUGGGAAGAAAGUUCUAAGGUUCGGCCACUUGGAUAUGGGAGCAGAGAAAGUGAAUUGUGGCAACAGUCUAGGAUAUGUCUUGACUUUCCAAAAGCCUUCAAUACCCAGAAGAAAGAAGAUCUGCUGGUAGAAAGAUUAGAAAUUGGCUCACGUUUGAAAUCAUGAAGACUUGGCCUAUAAUCCUCCCUUUGUGAACAUCAUUAGCCUUCCUCUCUACAAGGUUAGCCCAGUCUGAGUUA
Molecule: long non-coding RNA, 292 nt
Filed under: Callithrix jacchus (white-tufted-ear marmoset)
Lineage: Eukaryota; Metazoa; Chordata; Mammalia; Primates; Cebidae
Description: lncRNA (ENSCJAG00000084968.1)
Source: RNAcentral